GCCUGGGUGGCUCAGUCGGUUGGGCGUCUGACUUUGGCUCAGGUCAUGAUCUCGCAGUUCGUGGGUUCAAGCCCCGCAUCAGGCU
Molecule: transfer RNA, 85 nt
Filed under: Felis catus (domestic cat)
Lineage: Eukaryota; Metazoa; Chordata; Mammalia; Carnivora; Felidae
Rfam family: tRNA
About the family: Transfer RNA (tRNA) molecules are approximately 80 nucleotides in length.
Source: Rfam by way of RNAcentral